Odocoileus virginianus texanus is the source of this 1699-nucleotide non-coding RNA. Lineage: Eukaryota; Metazoa; Chordata; Mammalia; Artiodactyla; Cervidae. The record is from RefSeq and is a predicted model, not a curated record.
ACCCGUGCGUCCACUGCUACACCUCGGACUCAGUGAGGGUGUGGGAGGUGGGCAGUAGCAGUGAGGGAGCAGGGGACAUGCCUCCUCGCGGUCACUCGGGACCAAGGAUAGUAAUAGCGCAGACUAAUACACCACGGGGAAAACACGUUUUAGUGACAACUGAACAAGGUAUCCAGGAGAGAGUUAAAUCACAGUGGACACUUGGAGCAACACAGGCAACACACACUCAUCUGCUGGGCGACUCCCCACCAGCGACAGCACAGUUGUAAUCUGAACCCCAGAGAAGGGACUGCAGGUCUGAUGUCAGAAUAAACGUACACUCAUUUCAGUUGUUCACCCAUGGGCAGUGAUGGUCCAUUUUCCGAAUGCAUCUUUUGCAAAUGCUGAGGAGAAGUUAGAUUUUCACUAAUUUUGUGCUCUGAAGAAACACCACCCACUGAAAACAGCUCUGCUAAGAGGCCGCCCCGGGGGAUCCUGCCCCAGGGAAGAUGCAACAGCGUGAAGUUGGUCCCUCUCUCAGAUCUGGCGAGUGGCCUGGUGAUCGCCACACAAGCUUCCUAGUGGGUCAUACACGUCCACCGAGGCUGAGAAAAUCCUCUGGCCAGAAUCCCACUGCUGCAUAGCUACUCCUCAGGUAGGCAGCAGGCUGAGAAGUGGCACCCGGGUGCUGGACAGGGAGCAGAGCCAUGUGUCCGGAGAUGGAAGAGCCUUUCAUCAGAGCACGGUUGUCUGGUCCAGAAAUAGGGGCACAGAUGGCAGCUCUGACUGCGAGGAAGAGUGAUCGCACACACACCAACCUGGGUGGGGACCGCCCCAGAGGCACGAUAGGGUCCCGCUGUGUCCCUCAGAGCCAGACGUGUAACACCGACCCGGAGGCAGAGGGAAGACAGUCUCAUACCCCACAGUUACUUCCCAAGAUGUUCAAGAAAGCAGUCCAUGAACUCGGGGAGGCUGGGCUGCGCACACUGGGCUCUCUGUGACAGAGCGCAGGUGCCUUCCGCUGAGUCACAGCACCUACGCCGUGUCAGUUUAACAGGAAGGGAGGGGAGGAAGUGCAGAAACUGUUCCCUCAGGCUCAACUCAGCUACAGACACUGGGAACACGAGAGCACAGCAACGGGCGAUGCGACCCCAGGUCGAGGGCGCAGCCUCACUCUGCAGCAGCACCACCUUCGAAAGGAAUGCUCUGGACUUCGGUUUCCCGAGAGAAACCUGAAAGCAUAGUGUGUUGACUGAAGGCCAAGCAGAUAUCGCAUCAUCGGUUUUCUACUUUCAUGGCUAGUUUAAUGGGAUUUUGUCUACACCCCUGAACCUGUUUCUCCUCGUGUUAAAGCAAGCCUCACUUCCCAGAACACCAGGAGCAAUGCUGCAGAUCUCCAUUGUUUAAGGGACAGCCAUUCAAGCAAAACCUUUGCAGUGAUGCAGACUGGAGAAACUACCCUCAUUUUGUGACUCCUGCUGAUAAUCGGGGUCUUGCUCCAGAGACUCACUAUGCUUUUAGGGUAGGUGGGCAGCAAACCAAAGACAGGAGGGGACUCUCAACCAUCAACGGGUGCAAGUUAGUGCGAGCAGUUAGAGAGGAAACAGUGAUUAUAUACCCAGGGAAACACUUACCUCACAAGUUAUCACUAGACAUCACUUGAAUAUUUUGUGCCUUUUCUUGAGGAUCUUAAGGUGCAUACUGUCCUAUGUGAUAGGAU